RNAcentral lists this long non-coding RNA (1506 nucleotides) under Lactuca sativa (garden lettuce). RNAcentral's name for it is "long non-coding RNA (LSAT_LNC004231)". The record is from RNAcentral. Lineage: Eukaryota; Viridiplantae; Streptophyta; Magnoliopsida; Asterales; Asteraceae.
CCCUGGGUGUGUCGGAAAUUCUUGGAAACCAGCUCAAGUUUUCCGGUACAUCCAAGACGGCUCCUUCGGCUUCUAGUCCUGCAGCCAGCUUUAAGACCGUCGCCCUUUUCCAAAAGAAGAAACCUGCACCCAAGGCUAAGCCCGCUCCCGUCACCCCGGCUUCCGACGAGCUUGCCAAGUGGUACGGUAAGUAUUAAUUAUACAUAAUAAUAUAUCACUACUACUACUAUCCAUCCAUCCUCAUGAAAUACUUAUCUGUAAUAAUUACAGGUCCUGAGAGAAGAAUAUUCUUGCCCGAAGGUCUUUUGGACCGGUCGGAAAUCCCAGAGUACCUCAAUGGGGAAGUCGCCGGAGAGUAAGUCAAUUACCUAAUUACACACUACCAUCUACAUUCACAAUAUAUAUAUAUANUAUAUAUAACAACUAUUAAAUGACUUUUUUUUUCAUCAUCUCAUAUGCAGUUAUGGUUAUGAUCCGUUUGGACUUGGCAAGAAACCAGAAGACUUUGCCAAGUAAGUUCCCACUGAUCAAUUACUCAAGAUAAUAAAUUAUAGUUUAUACAUACAUACAGAGUUGAGUUGAGUCAACUCAGGGAAAAUGGAUUAUAUACAUAGUUUUCCGUACAACGAGUCAUCAACCAACUGUCAACUGACUUUGGUUUUCUGUAUAUAUUUCUGGGUACACACACACAGUGACACAGUCAUUGCUGUCUCUAACUUAAUUACAACAAGUAAAGUAAUGUUAUGGCAUGCAGAUACCAAGCGUUCGAGCUUAUUCAUGCACGAUGGGCUAUGCUGGGUGCGGCGGGUUGCAUCAUUCCCGAGGCCUUCAACAAGUAUGGUGCCAACUGUGGCCCUGAAGCUGUCUGGUUCAAGGUUCGUAUCACAUAUCAUAUCAUGCUGAAAUUACUAAUUAAUUAAAGACUAAAACUUUAACGAGUUCAGUUUAUUUGGGUACAUGGAUGCAGACGGGUGCUCUACUACUUGAUGGGAACACAUUGAAUUACUUUGGGAAGAACAUCCCCAUUAACCUCGUCCUGGCUGUCGUUGCAGAGGUUGUUCUUGUUGGUGGUGCGGAAUACUACAGAAUCACCAACGGCUUGGUAUGAAUCAUAUAUAGAAUUAAUAAAUAACCAACUGUUUCAGAAUAUUGUAUUCCUUCCAUGAUUAAUUAAUUUUGGGAGGUUUUAAUUUAUUUAUGUACAGGAUUUUGAGGACAAGCUGCACCCUGGUGGGCCAUUUGACCCAUUGGGAUUGGCUAAUGAUCCAGACCAGUUUGCAUUGUUGAAGGUGAAGGAGAUCAAGAAUGGUAGACUAGCAAUGUUCUCCAUGUUUGCGUUCUUCAUCCAAGCGUAUGUGACUGGACAGGGCCCUGUUGAAAACCUAGCUUCUCACUUGAGCGAUCCCUUUGGAAACAACAUUCUAACUGUUAUUUCUGGAAACAUUGAACGAACCCCAACCCUGUAAAACCCCAAAUUUCAGCUCUUCAUUAUGACUGAUAAUCAAA